Molecule: ribosomal RNA, 253 nt
Filed under: uncultured bacterium
Lineage: Bacteria
Description: partial 16S ribosomal RNA
Rfam family: Bacterial small subunit ribosomal RNA
Source: RNAcentral
UACAGAGGGUGCAAGCGUUGUUCGGAAUUACUGGGCGUAAAGCGUGCGUAGUCGGUAUUGAGAGUCACGGGUGAAAUCCCAGGGCUUAACCCUGGAACUGCCUGUGAGACCUCAGUACUAGAGUGUGAGAGGGGAUAGUGGAAUACCCAGUGUAGCGGUGAAAUGCGUAGAGAUUGGGUGGAACACCGGUGGCGAAAGCGGCUCACUGGACCAUAACUGACGCUGAGGCGCGAAAGCUAGGGGAGCAAACAGG